UGGGCAUGAUAUGGUGCCUUGUUUAAAUAGUUUUUGGCUUCAAAUUUUUUCAGGAUAAUUUUUUAAGUCAAGAAGAGUAUGCCAUUCUGGAUAUAAAUGUUCUCUGCAUAGAAGAUCUUGGGGAUCCUCUUGAAUUGGUAUUCUGGUUGGAAGAUUGGUAGUCACCCAAAUUCAUCCAUUAGUCCAGUAUUUUUGUUGUUGCAAUUUUCUGACUAUCCAAUAAACUUCUAAAUA
RNAcentral lists this long non-coding RNA (234 nucleotides) under Elaeis guineensis (African oil palm). Its description in RNAcentral is "long non-coding RNA (EGUI_LNC003997)". The record is from RNAcentral. Lineage: Eukaryota; Viridiplantae; Streptophyta; Magnoliopsida; Arecales; Arecaceae.